UCUUGCCUCUCUGGCACGCUGCCUUUCAGCCUCCAUCCUCUUUGAACAGCUGAAAAGUCUGAGAUACAUUAUUGGAGCUAAUCAGAGUCGAAUGAGGGAAGCGCUGAGGUGAGACAGCAGAAAUUACCUCCCUCCUCAGCCUGCCUGUUCCCGGUGCCCCCUCUCAGCCUCUGUCCACGCGUUCUCUGAUGGAGGUGGAGAGAUGAAGGAGGAGGGCGGCGGCGGCGGCGAGCUGAGCCGAAGGCACGGCCGCGGCGCCGACGAGUCACAGCGCGGUGAUUGAAUGAUUCUCUAAUACAAUGAGGUGAGAAUAAAAAGUAAUGAAGGUUAUAAUAGAGAGUGAUUAGGACGUAAUGGAAUCAAUGCCUUUUCUUUUUUGUUCCAGUGGAGGUAGUUCUUGUGUUUACACAUAAAAACCAGCGAUUAGUUAAAGAUAACAAUAAAACAUGACUUAGGUCAGUCUUUUGUGAGGUUUACAGGAAAAGGCAUCAGUCUGCUCCGGGUUGGGCGUCUGGACACGUGCUCCUGACAGCUGGGAAAUAAUUGAGCCUGUGACUUGACAGAUUCUCUAAAUUCCAGGUGGAUUGAACAAACUGCUGCACGCUUGAUGGUAAAAAUGAGAUUUCCUCUUCCUCGUAUCCAUCACAUCAGCUGUUGCAGAGGAAAAACACUCCUGUGAGAUGCCUCCUCGGUCCCACGAGACCCGCAUUGCCUUGUUCUUCAGGACCCUCUGGGAAUAAUCAACACAGAGAGGGGCUCGCGCUGCACGUUGAACCUGGAUAAAAGGCCGCGUUUGAGGCCUGAGCCGGGGCUGCGUCGACUCUGCUGCUCCGCCGCUGUGGGAGGAAGGUUGACGGGGCUUCAUGGACGCAUGAAAAAUGAAACCAGCUGCGUAGCCCCGAGGCGCCCGCGGGGGCCGUGGAGUGAUUGAGCUGCGCCACCCCUUCCCACUGUGACCCGCUAAGCCGUCCUGCACCCUGCAGUCCCCUGGCACCUCUACCUCCGUCCCACCUGCUCCCCCCCCCCCCAACGCCUGGCCGGGAACAGCAGGCUCGCCGGGCGCGCUAUCUCUGUCCACCUGAAGGUAAAGGAACCCUCCCAGACCUCCUAAGGGAGCGCGAACAA
This 1125-nucleotide long non-coding RNA is filed under the name Betta splendens (Siamese fighting fish). RNAcentral's name for it is "lncRNA (ENSBSLG00000024291.1)". Lineage: Eukaryota; Metazoa; Chordata; Actinopteri; Anabantiformes; Osphronemidae. The record is from RNAcentral.